Molecule: long non-coding RNA, 315 nt
Organism: Dermacentor albipictus
Lineage: Eukaryota; Metazoa; Arthropoda; Arachnida; Ixodida; Ixodidae
Source: RefSeq, a predicted model, not a curated record
GAACCUAGUGACAGGCCAUCUGGUGCUGGUGACGUGGAAGCUUUUCAGCCCUCGGUUUCUCAAGAUGCACAAAGCAGCACCGAGCAAGUGGUGCCAGAGGAGCUCGAACCCUGGACCUCACAGGAGUUGGAGGAAGCACUCCUCGAUGGUCAUUCAGAGGCCUUACAAACUGUGAUUGGCAGUGAAAGGGACGAUGGAAAGCUCUAUGCAGGGAGCAGUCAAUGGCUCGAGAAGGAGGCAUGGGGCACUCUGUUCCGGGCCCCGACGGAUUCUUUAUUUUGCCGCAUGGCGACGAACGUUUUUUGGACGCCCGAG